Microtus ochrogaster (prairie vole) is the source of this 102-nucleotide small nuclear RNA. NCBI's taxonomy places the organism in Eukaryota, Metazoa, Chordata, Mammalia, Rodentia, Cricetidae. The record is from Ensembl.
CUUGCUUUGGUAACAUAUACUAACAGUGGAAUGAUACAGAGAAGAUUAACAUGGCUGAUGUGCAGGGAUGACACGCAAAUUCGUGAAGUGUUUUGUAUUUUA